UUUCAUCGGCUAAGAUGGUUUUAGCCGACGAAUAACCUAAUAUUUCGUCGGCUUUAGUUAUUUUUUAAUUUUUUAAUUACAUACUAUAGCCGACGAAUAACCUAAUAUUUCUUCGACUUUAGUUAUUUUUUAAUUUUUUCAUUACAUACUAUAGCCGACGAAUACGUUAGGGUAUUCGUCGGCUAAACCUUAAAAGUUUUCUAUUACAUACUAUAGCCCUAUCUUCGGUGGUUAUUUUCAGUAAAAUUUUUAGACGACUUCUUGCGUCUCAUCGGUUUGAAACUAUUUUCAGUUGGAGGUCUGGCCAAAAUACGUAAUUUAGAUGGUCGAACGACCUUUUCCGUGAGUUUAGGGGUUUGACUAACGGGAUUAACCGUCCGGAUCGAGCUCUUAACCUUGUCGGAUCAAGUUGAAUUUUUUCCCAUACAAGUAUUUUGUCAUGAUGGUCAGAUCUGACGGUCGGAUUUCUGUUUCUCAAGUUUGAUCAUCACAAUCACAACAUGCCUACUAAUGUUGUAUAACUUGUUUACCAAGUGUUAUGUAAAUAUUCCGUUUCAAAAACAAACUAUACGUAAAACCUUCAAACGCAAAAAAGUCGUGAAAUAAGAUAUGACUAGAAUAGUGAAAUACAUCCACAGUUGAAAAAUCACACUAUCCGGUAAAGAUUCGAUGCCGGUAGUUGCAGUCAAUGCAAUUUUUCAUUCUUUCCCCCUAUGAGUAGCCCUAUCUUCGGUGGUUAUUUUGCGUAAAAUUUUUAUACGACUUGUUGCGUGUCAUCCAUUUAAAACUAUUUUCAGUUGAAGGUCCGGUCAAAAUACGUAAUUUAGACGGUCGAACGACAUUUUCCAUGUGUUUAGGGGUUUGACUUACGAGAUUAACCGUCUGGAUCGAGUCCUUAUCCUUGUCGAAUCAAGUUGAAUUUUUGCCCAUACAUGUAUUUUGUCAUGAUGGUCAGAUCUGACUGUCGGAUUUCUGUUUCUCACGUUUGAUCAUCACAAUCACAAUGUGCCAAAUGUAUAAAAGUACUUUAGCCGACGAAUUUCAAAGGUUAGCCGACGAAUUUCAAAGGUUUAGCCAACGAAUUUCGAAGGUUUAGCCGACGAAAUUCAAAGGUUUAGUCGACGAAUUUUAUCUUAGCCGACGAGAUUUUUAUCUUUAGCCGACGAAAUAAUAGUUUCGUCGGCUAAAGUUGUCGUGUUUAACUUGCGCUUGACAGCAAAAAACCCUAGCCUCCUCUUCCGCCUCCUCCACCUCCUCUCCCUCUCCCGGUCUCCGCCUCCUCCGCCCUCUCCCGAUCUCCGCCUCCUCCCUCCUCCCUCCUCCCUCCUCCCUCCCUCUCCCGUCUCCGCCUCCUCCCUCCUCCCUCCCUCCCUCUCCCGGUCUCCAAGGUUAGUGUUUUUCUUCUUUUUUACUUUUGAUUUCGAAUUGAUUUUUAGGCUAUGUUUUAUGUUUUAUGUACUGUCCAAUUUCCCUAAUUUAUGUUUAGGAGAUAAAUUAUCCUUAUUUUUUAAACAUAUGCUUUGUUGAUAAUGAACUUGAAGCUUGCAUUCCAUGAUUAGGUAUUGCAUUCAUCGUGGGCUGGGUACGAAUUUUUAAACAUAAGAUACAAAAUACAAAAUAGAAAAACCUAUAUCAAAUCCGGAUGAAUAUAUAUAUAUAUAUAUAUAUAUAUUUUAUUGUAAUUCUAUAUUUUUGUAAUAAGUAUAAUUUUAAACAUAUAUAUAUUUCACAUUAUAUUAAGUGUUUAAAUUUAAGCAUGGACAUAAUGAAAAAAUAUGGUUUCAAAAAUAUUUUUUAUACAAUAAAGACAAAAUAAUCUAAAGCCUUAGAUUUGAGAAGGAUAAGCUUGAAUUUUUACUUUUUCAAUGUUGCCUCAGCCUUGAUUCAAAUUAAUAUUUUAAAUAGGAUGAGCGGCUAUUUUAGAUCGAAGAAGAGUUCGAAGGGCCAAAGGUCCGAAUCGUCUGAGGGAAUCUCUAGCAACCCCCAAACGACGUUUCAGGGCCAGAUGACAGCCAGACGUGCGAGCCUUCUGGAGACGGCUCAGAGGCAGCCGGAGGUGCCCCCUUCAUCGAGGCAGCGGGGCUUCCCUCAUUCCUCGAGGCAGUUGUUUUGCUCAGCCUCAGANNN
This 2127-nucleotide long non-coding RNA is filed under the name Fragaria vesca (wild strawberry). Its description in RNAcentral is "long non-coding RNA (FVES_LNC001910)". The record is from RNAcentral. Lineage: Eukaryota; Viridiplantae; Streptophyta; Magnoliopsida; Rosales; Rosaceae.